GCGGGCGUGGCGGAACUGGUAGACGCGCUGGUUUUAGGUACCAGUAUCGUAAGAUGUGGGGGUUCGAUUCCCUUCGCCCGCACCA
This 85-nucleotide transfer RNA is filed under the name Novosphingobium sp. RNAcentral's name for it is "tRNA-Leu". It matches the Rfam family "tRNA". Rfam says of the family: Transfer RNA (tRNA) molecules are approximately 80 nucleotides in length. Their secondary structure includes four short double-helical elements and three loops (D, anti-codon, and T loops). The record is from RNAcentral. Lineage: Bacteria; Pseudomonadati; Pseudomonadota; Alphaproteobacteria; Sphingomonadales; Sphingomonadaceae.